Molecule: long non-coding RNA, 312 nt
Organism: Eucalyptus grandis
Lineage: Eukaryota; Viridiplantae; Streptophyta; Magnoliopsida; Myrtales; Myrtaceae
Exons: 2
Source: RefSeq, a predicted model, not a curated record
CAAAAAUCCACAAGAUUAUCCACUUGGUCUCUCUGCGACAAGAUAUGACUACGCUUGUAUGCUGUGUCCGCUGGCAAUACCAGACGAGGGUUUCAGCUUUUUCCAAGUUUCUUUUCACCUUGGAAUGUUCCGUACUUAUCUUCAAUGCCGGGAGCAUCUUUUUGGCACAUUCCUCCAAAUGUCAUUCUGGUGUGCUUCUCAAAUCCAGAUUACCACAGCACGCUGGAGUUGCUGAUGACAUUCGGGGAUGAUAUCAGUUGUGUUCUACUUGAAAUAAUGAGUUAGUAAGAUAUUCACACUGCAAAUUUGUAA